Molecule: long non-coding RNA, 1399 nt
Filed under: Zonotrichia albicollis (white-throated sparrow)
Lineage: Eukaryota; Metazoa; Chordata; Aves; Passeriformes; Passerellidae
Description: lncRNA (ENSZALG00000016601.1)
Source: RNAcentral
ACACAGCAAUACAACAGGUGGCCCUGAAUUUAAUACUGCCAUUAAACAAGCUCUUUUAUUCAGCCAGAAGAGAUGUGGUGGCUGCAAAGAUGGACUGUGCACAAUUUCAUUGUGCUCCAUGAAGGGCUACCCUCACCUGGCUCGGUAUUCCAUGGAAGGCUGGCCUGGCUGAGCCUGUGGGCUUCAGAACCAUCCACAGUGUGCUCAUGUAAAGUUGCCUGAGCUUAUGGAAGAUUUUGAAGGCCUGGAUUCCAUGUGUUGAGACUGGCACCAUAUCAGAGGAACAGCUGAGUAUAUGGAGCAGGGAAGCUACGUGAGAGCAGCUCUGAAUGUGACAGUCUGCAGACUUGGGCAUCAGUUCAGCCAGCUUCCUCAUCUCAGCGUAUCUGCAGAUCCACCCAGCAGCCGUGGUGUCCCCUGCGCUCCAGCAGCACGCCAGGGAGCCCGAGGGGAUGGCAGCAAAGGGGGCACACAGAGGGAAGAGAAGGGGAUGCACUGGAAUAAUCUACUGAGUUCAGUUCUGGGUCCCUCAAGAUUCCCAGAAUUCACAGAAUGACUAGGUUGGAAGAGACCCUCAAGAUCACCAAGUCCGACCCAUGCCCUGACACCUCAACAUGAUCCACAUGGAGGUGCUGGGUCAUGUCCAGGGAAGGGAAUGGAGAUGGGAAAGGCUCUGGAGCACAGUUCUGGUGAGGGAUGGCUCAGGGGGGCUCAGAUCCCAGAGCAGUGAUGGAGUGAGGGGUGAUGGAGCCCCUCUGCCACCACCACACCACUGCCCACAGGAUAACCCUGAGUGAACAGCCAGCUGUGAGAUCAUGGAUGAUGUGAGGUGAAUGCAGGAUGCUUUGGGAAGGGUAAGUGACCCCUGAAAUGAGCUUUAACCAAACCCUGGUGCCCUCUGCACUCAGCUGUGUCCAUCCAAGGUGAGAGGGAAGGAGGCUGGUGGGAGCUUAGCCUUGCUGGAGCUGCACACUCCUGACAGGCUGAGGAGCUCUGCAGGACUGGCUGCUUGAAUCAGGGCUCUCUGCAGUGCCCUGCACAUCUCCCCUCUGGAAAAGGCACUGGCAGAGCAGAGGCAAAGGGGGGUCCAAGCAGAGCUGUCAGUGCUCAUUGUCACAAAGAGCUUCAGUGCAGCACCAGGAGCAGCCCACGUUCCCAGGCAGGGGCAGGGCAGGCUGAGAUCUCCACUGGACACUGCUGGUACUGAUAUUUUUAUCUCAAGGAGCCCAGAAAUCAGAACUACACACCCCAGAGCCCAGCCUAGAAGGGACAAACACUUCAAUCACCAGCACAGCAUCAGGAGCUUGCCCUGAGCAGGGCCAGGACACCCACUGGAGGUGCUGGGGAAGCAGAACCUCAAACAGCCUUGCACAGCCUGAACCUCUCCAACACAGAGCAA